RNAcentral lists this long non-coding RNA (1419 nucleotides) under Ailuropoda melanoleuca (giant panda). Its description in RNAcentral is "lncRNA (ENSAMEG00000029832.1)". The record is from RNAcentral. Lineage: Eukaryota; Metazoa; Chordata; Mammalia; Carnivora; Ursidae.
AUGCAAAUGAGAUGUAAAGGUCAAGCCUGCUCCCAUCUCAUUUGCAUAGCUCUGCAUCCACUAUGCAGUCACGUUUAUACUCCUCUUUUCCCUUUCGUCAGUGUUCUUUUUUUUUUUUUUAAAGAUUUUAUUUAUUUAUUCGACAGAGAUAGAGACAGCCAGCAGAGAGGGAACACAAGCAGGGGGAGCGGGAGAAGAAGAAGCAGGCUCAUAGCAGAAGAGCCUGAGGUGGGGCUCGAUCCAGAACACCGGGAUCACGCCCUGAGCCGAAGGCAGACGCUUAACUGCUGUGCCACCCAGGCGCCCCUCGUCAGUGUUCUUUUUAUCCUCAGUUCAACUCUUCCUUGCAUCACCCUUACCCACAGCCCAGGGGGACCAGGAGUGGGAGGAAAAGCUGCUCUCCUGCUGGCCCGAGGCAAUGGUAUCCUUUGCCAGUUCCCACCUCGUGGGGGGGGGGGCACUUGGAAGUAGAAGCAGCGGGGGAAUCUGCGGGUGCAGCCCCCCUGCCCUUGGUUAACCUCCAAAGUCCCCUGAUGGAAGAGCAUCCUCUGAUGGAGGCGGGGGGAGCCUGGCCUGGGGGGCCGCGCACCUUGCCGAGGAACUGGCACCUGACCAUGUAGGGCGGAUCCCCCGUGCUGAUGCUCUUCUGGCACCUUCACCUCCAGUGAUGCCUGGGGGGCAGGGCUGGACCCCUCCUCUCCUGUCUUCAUCCCUUCAACUGCGCCCUACCUCCCCUACACCAGCACCACUCAGUCCCCGGCCCGGGGCUGGGUUGGAACAGGUGUGUGCCCACCACAUUACCUCUCUGACCCCGUCCUCCUUCCCUGGACGCUUGUACUUGGGGCACCUCGGGACGAGGACUGUGCCCCCCACUGUCCACAUUCAGUGCCGGCCCUGUUGCCCUUCCUGUCUCCCCUCCCUCAGCCAAUUGUUCAGCUUUUGCUCUGACUGGUUUUCUUUCUUUUCCUUUGAUUAAAUGUGAAAACAAAGGCUUCUGGGCUCUAUUUGUCUUUGGUUGGGGCCCGGUGGAUGGCUUUGGUACAGGGUGAGAGGGGGGAGCCCAGCACAGAUGAUUCUGGAGUGGAAGUCACAGUGACUUGUCUUGUGUCCAGUGAUGUCUUCCAAAAUUUCCCAUCCCACCCUUCCACAUGCCCCAUCCCCAGAAGCCGCUCGUUCUAAAUGCCUAUAUCCAGGAGUCUGUGAGCAUUCGUGGGGGCCAGGGGACUCAGGGACUCCAAGGCUCAUCCAGUCCCCUUCACCCAGAGCUUGCUGUGUGACCUUCAGCUGGGCCCUGUGCUGCUUAGGUUCAUACUCCCUGAAAAUGUCAUGGACUCUCCUGGCGCUGAUGCUGGGAUUGGUUCUAGGUGCUCAACAAUGCAUGCCAUGGAGAGCUGGUUGAAAUGUCACCAUGGGGCGGGG